GUUCAUUCUUUGUUGUGUUUGUAUAUGACAACUAUCUUUUUUUUUAUUAUUUCACUGAUUUCCCUUUUCUCCCGUAGCUUAGAACAAUCUGGGAAAAAUGUGUAACGACAGGUGCGCAUAUUACGUUAUACUAGUAUAUUGCAUUGGUUCCAUCUUUAUUUGCUUUUAUAUGUAUGAAGUUCUAUUAGGGAUAUUGAGAGGGGAGAUUCCAUUCCACGAUCUGUAGGAAAGGCGCUUCAUGCCGUAAGAUUUUAAAAAUGUUGAAAUCAUUAGCUUCUUGAUGUCAAUCAAAAUGUUGAUCUUUCAAUAAAUCUUACAGCAAUGUAAAAACCCAACCCAAAAGCUAAAAAUUGUCUUUUAUUUCAUCCUUUGAGAAUUGAAAAUUACAAAACAACGUAUUUGCACGUUCAUUUCUUCUUUACAGAUAAAACUAAUAGAGAUGUUGAAUCUCUACCAAGAUUUGUCCCUUUUACUCUACAACUUUCAACAUCUACACACGAACAUCUUCGUUGUAAGAAGUAACUUCAUAAGAAGCAA
Long non-coding RNA from Nicrophorus vespilloides, 537 nucleotides. RefSeq lists it as uncharacterized. The record is from RefSeq and is a predicted model, not a curated record. The transcript has 3 exons. NCBI's taxonomy places the organism in Eukaryota, Metazoa, Arthropoda, Insecta, Coleoptera, Silphidae.